GUAGGUGAACCUGCGGAGGGAUCAUUACCGAGCGAGGGCCUCCGGGCCCGACCUCUCAACCCCAUGUCACCCGACACUGUUGCCUCGGGGGCGACCCGGCCCUCUGGCGCCGGGGCCCCCGGCGGACCGUCAAACACUGCAUCUGUGCGUCCGAGUCGAAUGAUAAAUCAAUCAAAACUUUCAACAACGGAUCUCUUGGUUCUG
This 204-nucleotide unclassified non-coding RNA is filed under the name rhizosphere metagenome. Its description in RNAcentral is "partial ribosomal RNA internal transcribed spacer region". The record is from RNAcentral.